This 633-nucleotide long non-coding RNA is filed under the name Mastacembelus armatus (zig-zag eel). RNAcentral's name for it is "lncRNA (ENSMAMG00000024764.1)". The record is from RNAcentral. Lineage: Eukaryota; Metazoa; Chordata; Actinopteri; Synbranchiformes; Mastacembelidae.
AUGAUCGGGAGGGCGAGCAUACUCGGCAAAGAUGAAAGAUACUGGUGGAGGCAGGAGGGGUCAAUUACCCAGCAUCACCUAAAGAACUGGAAGGUGAUACUGUGGAUGAUGGCAUCAUUGCUGACACUGGCAGAAAAUGUGUUUUCUGAGGACAAUAAAAAGGCUCCGACAGACCACCAUCAUGUUUUCAGGCAGCCAUCCUGGUCUCCUGCAGAGAAUCUGGAACAGGAGAGCAGUGUCUACAGAUACUGGCCUAAAGGCUUUGCCUUUUCCCCUCUCGGGGCUUAUUGUUCACAGGUGCGCAAGGUGGGACGACUCUCCAAUCAGCAAUCACCUUCCCGUCAAUAAGAAGCCUGGUUCCCUCCGGUCAGAUCGCCAGUUCGUCGUCAAACUUUCCCGGUAGCUUCGCAACCGAUUGUUGUUUUGACCGCUUGGCAAUUCCUAGCCUAACUACUUACCUCUUCUCCAGGUUCUCAGCCUCGUCUCGUAACCUGUGGAGAUCUCCGCCCCGACCGACAGCCUCUCUGGCGACUCAUCCGGGGCCACCGCCCCGUUUCAGCUCCUCAGCACAAUCCCAAUAAACUCUGUUCUGCUUGGCAUCUGCUCGUGGGUUCCUGUGUCUCGCUGACGCGC